AGUGAACGCUGGCGGUAGGCCUAACACAUGCAAGUCGAACGGCAGCACAGUAAGAGCUUGCUCUUACGGGUGGCGAGUCGCGGACGGGUGAGGAAUACAUCGUAAUCUACUUUUUCGUGGGGGAUAACGUAGGGAAACUUACGCUCAUACCGCAUACGACCUACGGGUGAAAGCAUGGGAUCUUCGGACCUUGCGCGAUUGAAUGCGCCGAUGUCGGAUUAGCUAGUUGGCGGGGUAAAGGCCCACCAAGGCGACGAUCCGUAGCUGGUCUGAGAGGAUGAUCAGCCACACUGGAAGUGAGACACGGUCCAGACUCCUACGGGAGGCAGCAGAGGGGAAUAGUAGACAAUGGGCGGAAGCCUGAUACAGCCAUACCGCGUGGGUGGAGAAGGCCUUCGGGUUGUAAAGCCCUUUUGUUGGGAAAGAAAAGCAGCAGGUUAAGACCCCGCGGUUCUGACGGUACCCAAAGAAUAAGCACCGGCUAACUUCGUG
This 492-nucleotide ribosomal RNA is filed under the name uncultured bacterium. RNAcentral describes it as "partial 16S ribosomal RNA". It matches the Rfam family "Bacterial small subunit ribosomal RNA", at positions 29 to 507 of the family's 1533-position model. The record is from RNAcentral.